Molecule: long non-coding RNA, 285 nt
Organism: Acanthochromis polyacanthus (spiny chromis)
Lineage: Eukaryota; Metazoa; Chordata; Actinopteri; Pomacentridae
Exons: 3
Source: RefSeq, a predicted model, not a curated record
UUUAGGGUUGAUGUUUGGCUAGUUUCCCUGUGAUUGUAGGGUUGAUGUUUGGCUAGUUUCCCUGUGAUUUUAGGGUUGAUGUUUGGCUAGUUUCCCUGUGAUUGUAGGGUUCAUGUUUGGCUAGUUUCCCUGUGAUUGUAGGGUUCAUGUUUGGCUAGUUUCUCUGUGAUUGUAGGGCUCAUGUUGGCUAGUUUCCCUGUGAUUUUAGGGUUGAUGUUUGGCUAGUUUCCCUGUGAUUGUAGGGCUCAUGUUUGGCUAGUUUCCCUGUGAUUUUAGGUUGAUGUU